RNAcentral lists this signal recognition particle RNA (299 nucleotides) under Cebus imitator (Panamanian white-faced capuchin). Its description in RNAcentral is "Metazoan signal recognition particle RNA (ENSCCAG00000003268.1)". It matches the Rfam family "Metazoan signal recognition particle RNA". From Rfam's summary of the family: The signal recognition particle (SRP) is a universally conserved ribonucleoprotein. It is involved in the co-translational targeting of proteins to membranes. The eukaryotic SRP consists of a 300-nucleotide 7S RNA and six proteins: SRPs 72, 68, 54, 19, 14, and 9. Lineage: Eukaryota; Metazoa; Chordata; Mammalia; Primates; Cebidae. The record is from RNAcentral.
GCCAGGCGCGGUGGCGCGUGCCUGUAGUCCCAGCUACUCGGGAGGCUGAGGUGGGAGGAUGGCUUGAGCCCAGGAGUUCUGGGCUGUAGGGCGCUAUGCCAAUCAGAUGUCCAUACUAAGUUCGGCAUCAAUAUGGUGACCUCCUGGGAGCGGGGGACCACCAGGUUGCCUAAGGAGGGGUGAACCGGCCCAGGUUGGAAACGGAGCAGGUUAAAACUCCAGUGUUGAUCAGUAGUGGGAUCGCACCUGUGAAUAGCCACUGCACUCCAGCCUGGACAACAUAGUGAGAACCUGUCUCA